GAAAAAUAGUUGUACGAUAUGAUGGCGCU
This 29-nucleotide non-coding RNA is filed under the name Cricetulus griseus (Chinese hamster). Lineage: Eukaryota; Metazoa; Chordata; Mammalia; Rodentia; Cricetidae. The record is from RNAcentral.